RNAcentral lists this ribosomal RNA (254 nucleotides) under uncultured bacterium. RNAcentral's name for it is "partial 16S ribosomal RNA". It matches the Rfam family "Bacterial small subunit ribosomal RNA", at positions 524 to 776 of the family's 1533-position model. The record is from RNAcentral.
UACGUAGGUGCCGAGCGUUGUUCCGGAAUUAUUGGGCGUAAAGAGCUCGUAGGCGGUUUGUCACGUCUGCUGUGAAAUCCCGAGGCUCAACCUCGGGCCUGCAGUGGGUACGGGCAGACUGGAGUGCGGUAGGGGAGAAUGGAAUUCCUGGUGUAGCGGUGGAAUGCGCAGAUAUCAGGAGGAACACCGAUGGCGAAGGCAGUUCUCUGGGCCGUAACUGACGCUGAGGAGCGAAAGCGUGGGGAGCGAACAGG